GGGUUGUGAGGUUAAGCGACUAAGCGUACACGGUGGAUGCCCUGGCAGUCAGAGGCGAUGAAGGGCGUGCUAAUCUGCGAUAAGCGCCGGUAAGGUGAUAUGAACCGUUAUAACCGGCGAUACCCGAAUGGGGAAACCCAGUGUGAUUCGUCACACUAUCAUUAACUGAAUCCAUAGGUUAAUGAGGCGAACCGGGGGAACUGAAACAUCUAAGUACCCCGAGGAAAAGAAAUCAACCGAGAUUCCCCCAGUAGCGGCGAGCGAACGGGGAGGAGCCCAGAGCCUGAAUCAGCAUGUGUGUUAGUGGAAGCGUCUGGAAAGGCGCGCGAUACAGGGUGACAGCCCCGUACACAAAAGCGCAUGUGCUGUGAGCUCGAUGAGUAGGGCGGGACACGUGGUAUCCUGUCUGAAUAUGGGGGGACCAUCCUCCAAGGCUAAAUACUCCUGACUGACCGAUAGUGAACCAGUACCGUGAGGGAAAGGCGAAAAGAACCCCGGCGAGGGGAGUGAAAAAGAACCUGAAACCGUGUACGUACAAGCAGUGGGAGCC
This 550-nucleotide ribosomal RNA is filed under the name Salmonella enterica. RNAcentral's name for it is "bacterial LSU rRNA". It matches the Rfam family "Bacterial large subunit ribosomal RNA", at positions 1 to 581 of the family's 2925-position model. Lineage: Bacteria; Pseudomonadati; Pseudomonadota; Gammaproteobacteria; Enterobacterales; Enterobacteriaceae. The record is from RNAcentral. RNAcentral also lists the same sequence under 4 other names.